Molecule: ribosomal RNA, 1065 nt
Filed under: unidentified rumen bacterium 30-26
Lineage: Bacteria; Pseudomonadati; Bacteroidota; Bacteroidia; Bacteroidales; Bacteroidaceae
Description: bacterial SSU rRNA
Rfam family: Bacterial small subunit ribosomal RNA
Source: RNAcentral
AGAGUUUGAUCCUGGCUCAGGAUGAACGCUAGCNACAGGCUUAACACAUGCAAGUCGAGGGGCAGCAUGAAGUUUGCUUGCAAACUUUGAUGGCGACCGGCGCACGGGUGAGUAACGCGUAUCCAACCUUCCCUAUACUAGAGGAUAGCCCGGCGAAAGUCGGAUUAAUACUCUAUGUUCUUCGUAGAAGACAUCUGAAAUGAAGCAAAGGUUUACCGGUAUAGGAUGGGGAUGCGUCUGAUUAGGUUGUUGGCGGGGUAACGGCCCACCAAGCCUACGAUCAGUAGGGGUUCUGAGAGGAAGGUCCCCCACAUUGGAACUGAGACACGGUCCAAACUCCUACGGGAGGCAGCAGUGAGGAAUAUUGGUCAAUGGGCGAGAGCCUGAACCAGCCAAGUAGCGUGCAGGAUGACGGCCCUAUGGGUUGUAAACUGCUUUUAUGCGGGGAUAAAGUGUGGGACGUGUCCCAUAUUGUAGGUACCGCAUGAAUAAGGACCGGCUAAUUCCGUGCCAGCAGCCGCGGUAAUACGGAAGGUCCGGGCGUUAUCCGGAUUUAUUGGGUUUAAAGGGAGCGCAGGCGGGUUAUUAAGCGUGUUGUGAAAUGCGGCGGCUCAACCGUCGAAUUGCAGCGCGAACUGGUUACCUUGAGUGAGUACGACGUCAGCGGAAUUCGUCGUGUAGCGGUGAAAUGCUUAGAUAUGACGAAGAACUCCGAUUGGGAAGCCAGCCUGCUGUAGCGCCACUGACGCUGAUGCUCGAAAGCGUGGGUAUCGAACAGGAUUAGAUACACUAGGUAGUCCACGCGGUAAACGAUGGAUGCUCGCUGUGUGCCUAUGAGGUACGUGGCCAAGGGAAACCAUUAAGCAUCCCACCUGGGGAGUANGCCGGCAACANNUNAAACUCAAAGGAAUUGACGGGGGCCCGCACANGCGGAGGAACAUGUGGUUUAAUUCGAUGAUACGCGAGGAACCUUACCCGGGCUUGAACUGCAGCAGACGGAUUCAGAGAUGAUGACUCUCUCGGGGCUGCUGUGGAGGUGCUGCAUGGUUGUCGUCAGCUCGUGCC